AGGGANUCCUCCGCAAUGGACGAAAGUCUGACGGAGCAACGCCGCUGAGUGAUGAAGGUNUUNGGAUNGUANANCUCUGUUGUUAGGGAAGAACAAGUGCGAGAGUAACUGCUCGCACCUUGACGGUACCUAACCAGAAAGCCACGGCUAACUACGUGCCAGCAGCCGCGGUAAUACGUAGGUGGCAGCGUUGUCCGGAAUUAUUGGGCGUAAAGGGCUCGCAGGCGGUUUCUUAAGUCUGAUGUGAAAGCCCCCGGCUCAACCGGGGAGGGUCAUUGGAAACUGGGAAACUUGAGUGCAGAAGAGGAGAGUGGAAUUCCACGUGUAGCGGUGAAAUGCGUAGAGAUGUGGAGGAACACCAGUGGCGAAGGCGACUCUCUGGUCUGUAACUGACGCUGAGGAGCGAAAGCGUGGGGAGCGAACAGGAUUAGAUACCCUGGUAGUCCACGCCGUAAACGAUGAGUGCUAAGUGUUAGGGGGUUUCCGCCCCUUAGUGCUGCAGCUAACGCAUUAAGCACUCCGCCUGGGGAGUACGGUCGCAAGACUGAAACUCAAAGGAAUUGACGGGGGCCCGCACAAGCGGUGGAGCAUGUGGUUUAAUUCGAAGCAACGCGAAGAACCUUACCAGGUCUUGACAUCCUCUGACAACCCUAGAGAUAGGGCUUUCCCUUCGGGGACAGAGUGACA
This 687-nucleotide ribosomal RNA is filed under the name Bacillus pumilus. Its description in RNAcentral is "bacterial SSU rRNA". It matches the Rfam family "Bacterial small subunit ribosomal RNA", at positions 356 to 1036 of the family's 1533-position model. The record is from RNAcentral. Lineage: Bacteria; Bacillati; Bacillota; Bacilli; Caryophanales; Bacillaceae.